ACGUAGGGGGCAAGCGUUGUCCGGAAUUACUGGGCGUAAAGGGCGCGUAGGCGGGAAUUUAAGUUAGAUGUGAAAACUCUGAGCUCAACUUGGAGACUGCAUUUAAAACUGGAUUUCUUGAGGGCAGGAGAGGAAAGUGGAAUUCCUAGUGUAGCGGUGAAAUGCGUAGAUAUUAGGAGGAACACCAGUGGCGAAGGCGACUUUCUGGACUGUACCUGACGCUGAGGCGCGAAAGCGUGGGGAGCGAACAG
RNAcentral lists this ribosomal RNA (251 nucleotides) under uncultured prokaryote. RNAcentral's name for it is "partial 16S rRNA". It matches the Rfam family "Bacterial small subunit ribosomal RNA", at positions 525 to 775 of the family's 1533-position model. The record is from RNAcentral.